UCUCAGAAAUCUUUCCUGCCUUAUUUAUUAAUGUGAUUAUUUGUUUCUUAGUCAAUGCCACCUUCUCCUAUAACUUUCUACCUAGAGGGGGAAAAGCCCCAGUAUUUAGCACUCUGAGUUUUAUAAAGCAUCUUCACACUUCUCCUGUCUCGCAUCACUACCCUUUGAUAGCAUUGGGGAGGGACUUUUGCUAUUUCCAUGUUACAAAUGGGUCACCCCGGCACCCGGAACUCGAGUAACUAGCCCAUGCCUGCGAAGCUCCCACCUGGAGUGGGGAACUAGAGCCAGAUCACCAGACCCAAAACUGAGGCCUUGAGGAGGAGACUACGAACGUGGCGGUGGAGAUGUUUCUCUCUUCACAGCGGCUGAGUUGUCUCUACUUUAUGGGCUGCGAAUACUUUCUGGCUUGUCCUCUAGGAAUCUCUUGGCAUCUUUUUACCAAGUUUAAUAUCACAGAGCUAUAAGGCUUAGAAGACCUCAGAGGCCAUUAUAGCCAACCCCCAGACUCCUAUUCUGCAGCCAAAUUAGUGAUAACACGUUAUAUAAUUCCAUUAAAAAAACCCAACCAAGGAACCAUUUAGUACCUUCCUAAAAGAUGAGUUUUUCUUGAACAUGGUGCUAACUAACCAAUUUGACUGAAACCACCCGAUAUUUUGACAUGGUAAAAAACAUAUUGUGUAAUAGAAAUACAAUGAGAGUCACAUAUGUGAUUUAAAAUUUUAUUGAGCCAUAUUUAAAAAGUAAAAAGACACACACUCUUCUCGUGCGACACAGAACCGAGACCCCCAUACAGAACAUUUAACUGUUUUCCCUUAAUACCCAGGAAACAUGCACUAACCUGGUAAACACCUGCUUCGUGGAGAGUAGUCUUUCAGGAUUCAUACCCUCAGGACAUUGUUGGGGACCUAUUGGACUGAACAAAGGGGGGCAACACGGGAAUAAAAGACAAGAGGAGACAAAAGAGUAUAUUUGGAAGAAGGGGUUGGGGCACCUUGCCUUUAGUGGACAAGGGCCCUGAGCUUUACACAGCCCUCCGUAUUUAUUAGGCAAAAAGAGAUAGCGAGAAAGCUGGGGGAGGGGGUGAUUGUCAGUCUGCCGUUUGGUUCACAGUAGGCUUGCAUUUUUUGGACAAUAGGCACUAGAUUUUUUAGGCAGAUAACUUCAAGGAGCCCGGAGCUAGGGAGUGAUGUCUGUUAGCAAACCUUUUGGUGGCAGGGCAGUGUGAGUUUGCCCACAUCCUGCAUUCAUGAGAAACAGUUUGCUGUUUGUAGCCUCCAGCGGAAUGCUGAGUUGGUCACGUCCCCCACGGGCCUUCGGCUCCCUGCAGGACACCACCUCCUAGACAUUUGCCCGCAUUUGCUGACCUACACUCAGACACUCUGGCUGGUCUAGAAUCUCAGGGCCUUUACUCCGGCUCCUGCCAGAGGCCUGAGAAAUCCACACCUCGCUGAUAGCUCCACAGCUCACCAGCGUCCGUGGUGAGCCAGUUUCCGUGGCGGCAGCAUCCUCCGCCUUGGGAGAGGCCGUGGGGACCGUACUGAAGAAACUGCCACUCCGAGGCAUUGCUCCGUGCUGGGCGCUGCCAUUGAGAAGUGCACCUAAGCGGCCACCCGUGAGCGACGACCACGCAUGAACAGGAAUGUUCUAGAGCAGAAUGCACCUAUGAAGGCUGGGGCCUGCGCGAGAACCUGCACCGGAAGCCACCCUGACACGCUCCUCCCCUUGGGGCGACGUCCACCUCCUCGCUGUAGCGGGGGGAAGACGCCGCGGGUGCUGUGGACGGGGAGGGCCCGCGCGUGCGCGGCGGCCAGUGAGCCGUGAUGCUCAGUCCCACCCGCCUUUCUCACGCCCCUUCCCUUUCCCGUCCUCCCUCCUCUCCCCUCCCCUGCGUGGUAACAACGAUUGUGACACUUGGUUUUCUUACCUCAAGAGGUGCACGUGAUUUAUUUUUAAAAUUCCCUCAAAAGAACGUUUUCUUGAAUUGAAACUAAUGAUCAAACAGAAGCUAGGCCGGAGGCGAUGGCACCACCCUCUCUGCUUCCGUCAGUUCCACUCCCCUCCCCGCCACACCCCACCUUCCUGCUCGGUGUGGGCUGGGGCGGGCAGCAGCGAGGACGGCGUGGAAACGCAACCGCCCGGAGGAAAGGCGGGAAACAGCGGGAAGGGAGGUUUGCCGCCCCCUCUUCCUGUGGUGACCUCCACCUCUUACAAAAAUCACCACCGACGUGUGGGAACCGUGCUCGCUGACUGAAAGCAAAGCUCAGCUGACCUGUGAGGAGGCCCCGGGGAGCUGCCGCGGUGGUCGCCGCUGAGUCCAUCCGUGCCGCUGGGCCGAGGCAGCUGGAGGCCACGGUUCAUGACUCUCUCGGGAAAGGAUUUUAUCUCCAUCACUUGCAACUUCUUGGAGCUGAAGUCUGCACAGCACUGUGGAGAUUGUCAGAUCUGCGUGGACAAGGCAGGGCAGGCCUGGUGGUUUGGAGAAGUAGGGCUAUGCCGGAGUGAGGUGGCACGGGGUGCAGGCGGCUUCUUUGAGGGGGACCCGGGGAAGCAGGAACAGGAAAGCCAGCUAAACCGCAACCUCAGUCCCCGUUGAAGACAGCAGGGCCUGAGGCAGCUGCACCCAGACGUCUCCGGAGUUCAUGUUGGUCCAAAGGAGGGAGGCUGGGUGGAGACUCACCUGCUGCAGUCCCCAUGGGCUGAGUGUUGUGGAGCUGUCAGCUCCCUUUGUUCGGGGGUCUGUCGAAGCCUGGGCAGCGAGCUUCCUCGGCCUGGGAGGAGCCCACGAGUGGACACGGGAGGAGGGCGCUGCCCCUCAUUCGCUCCGGAUGCUUGUCUCAUUAGCCGUCAAUUCACAGAGAGCAGUUUCCAGUAGAACAAUUCCAGAAAAAACCAGAGCCACCACCAGGGCCUGUGUGUUUCAUUCCUGACCUGGGGAAGGUAGCAGAAGCUUUCAGCAGCAACUAUUCAAAUAACCACCUGUUUAACACAUGGACCCGUGAAUGGCGGCCCUGGGUGCCUUGUCCCAUUGUUUUUCUUCUUUCCUCUCCUCCAUUUCCUUCCUCUCUUCCCCCUCAAAAACACAGUGUGCAUAAACAUUUGCAUACCCCAGCCACACCACCAACAGCUUCUCCAUGGGCUGGGGUCUCUGCCUUGUCGAAAUGAUAUUAAUAAAUGAUAAAGCCAGGGUCAUCUCUAUCUCUCAUCUAUCUCUAUCUCUAUCUAUUAAUUAUCUAUCUAUUAUCUAUCUCUAUUAACCUGUUAUCUAUCUACCUACUAACUACCUACCUAUCCACAUCUACUGUCUAUCUAUACCUAAGUUCAUUAUCAUCAUUAUCUACCCUCUAUCUGUCUCUAUUAACCUAUUAUCUAUUUAUCCAUCUCUCAUCCGUCCAUCCAUCAUCUUGCUGACGUUAGCUCUGGGACUCCUCAAGCCUAUGUGUGAUGAUGAGCGAUCAUCCAGCUGUUUGACGCUAUGAUUCUAGUGAAUUUGCAUUGGGCAACAAAUGUGUGGAUGAGCACACGAAUAAACACUAUUUAUUUGCUAAGUGUUGUAGGGAGCCUGCCUUAAAGAACCUUAUCCAUGUGAAACCAUGACGUCCCACCCUCCCCUUGGCAGGGCUGUUAUAUGACAGCUCUCUGCAAAGGCCACCUCCCAGUGCGGUGGGAACCAGGGCCAGUCCCACACAUGUGCACAUUCUCCAGGUGGCGUGCGAGGCUGCUACGCUUGCAGGAGGGCUCUGAGGUGGCCGUGUGCCCGGACCUCUGCAGAGGCUACGGUGACAGAGGACUCAGCAGAGUUACCUUCCACUGUGCACAGGAAGGAAUGUGCCCUGAGUGCUGAGCUAAAGAGGAAUACAGGGAGGUAUUCACCUGUGCCGGGCCCCUGUGCCACUACCAUCUAUUCAUUAACAGAUGUUUAUUGAGCAGCGACUAUAAUUCAGGCGUUGUGUGCGUGAUGGUAGCAAAACAACAGGGGAAGAAAGUCCAUCGCCUCUCCCUUCCUGGAGCUUCCAUAUUGGUGAAGGAGAUGGAAAGUAAAAUGAAAAGCAAAUAUAAAAUUACAUAUUUUACUAUGUGCAAUGAGAAAAUAUAAAGCGUGUGGUGACAGAGAAUGGCAGGGAAUGGAUACUUAGUGUCAUCAAGCAAGGAUUUCAGAAGAAUGCAUCAACUUGGGGCUUGUGAGAAUUAAAGACAGUUUUUGAAGCACUGAAGUGAAUGAAUUAAUUUGGGCAUAGGGGACUGGGACAGCUAGAGGGGUCUGAGAAUCACACUCUGUGAUGUGAGCAGGAGAAAAUCCACCAGAAGCAUGAUGAUGACUCCCAGGAUCUAGUUGGAUCUUCUGGAAUUUGAACAGAAACCUCAACAAUUUUCUUUUGAAACUCUAAGAUGCUCCAUGUGAGGAGGACUUUGGGCAGGUUCUUAUCAAACAUUAUUUCAAGUACCAUCAUAAAAUAAAGGAAACUGUGGCCUCCGUGGAGGCAAUAAAGCGUCAA
This is a long non-coding RNA of Pan troglodytes (chimpanzee), 4493 nucleotides long. RefSeq lists it as uncharacterized. Lineage: Eukaryota; Metazoa; Chordata; Mammalia; Primates; Hominidae. The transcript has 2 exons. The record is from RefSeq and is a predicted model, not a curated record.